Molecule: ribosomal RNA, 468 nt
Filed under: uncultured bacterium
Lineage: Bacteria
Description: partial 16S ribosomal RNA
Rfam family: Bacterial small subunit ribosomal RNA
Source: RNAcentral
GACGAACGCUGGCGGCGUGCUUAACACAUGCAAGUCGAACGGAAAGGCCCUGCUGUUGUGGGGUGCUCGAGUGGCGAACGGGUGAGUAACACGUGAGUAACCUGCCCUUGACUUUGGGAUAACUUCAGGAAACUGGGGCUAAUACCGGAUAGGAGCUCCUGCUGCAUGGUGGGGGUUGGAAAGUUUCGGCGGUUGGGUAUGGACUCGCGGCUUAUCAGCUUGUUGGUGGGGUAGUGGCUUACCAAGGCUUUGACGGGUAGCCGGCCUGAGAGGGUGACCGGCCACAUUGGGACUGAGAUGCGGCCCAGACUCCUACGGGAGGCAGCAGUGGGGAAUAGUGCACAAUGGGCGGAAGCCUGAUGCAGCAACGCCGCGUGCGGGAUGACGGCCUUCGGGUUGUAAACCGCUUUCGCCUGUGACGAAGCGUGAGUGACGGUAAUGGGUAAAGAAGCACCGGCUAACUACGUG